AACGCUGGCGGCAGGCUUAACACAUGCAAGUCGAACGCGUGUAGCAAUACACGAGUGGCGCACGGGUGAGUAACGCGUGGAUAUCUGCCUUUUGGUUCGGAAUAACCCCGGGAAACUGGGGCUAAUACCGGAUGGUUCCUACGGGAUAAAGAUUUAUCGCCAAAAGAUGAGUCCGCGUACGAUUAGCUAGUUGGUGAGGUAAUGGCUCACCAAGGCGACGAUCUGUAGCUGGUCUGAGAGGAUGAUCAGCCACAUUGGGACUGAGACACGGCCCAAACUCCUACGGGAGGCAGCAGUGGGGAAUAUUGGACAAUGGGCGCAAGCCUGAUCCAGCCAUGCCGCGUGAGUGAUGACGGCCCUAGGGUUGUAAAGCUCUUUCACCCACGACGAUAAUGACGGUAGUGGGAGAAGAAGCCCCGGCUAACUUCGUGCCAGCAGCCGCGGUAAUACGAAGGGGGCUAGCGUUGUUCGGAUUUACUGGGCGUAAAGCGCACGUAGG
This 499-nucleotide ribosomal RNA is filed under the name uncultured bacterium. Its description in RNAcentral is "bacterial SSU rRNA". It matches the Rfam family "Bacterial small subunit ribosomal RNA", at positions 32 to 575 of the family's 1533-position model. The record is from RNAcentral.